This 109-nucleotide microRNA precursor is filed under the name Caenorhabditis remanei. RNAcentral's name for it is "microRNA crm-mir-235 precursor". Its record names the gene crm-mir-235. The stretch from base 20 to 95 matches the Rfam family "mir-235 microRNA precursor family". Lineage: Eukaryota; Metazoa; Nematoda; Chromadorea; Rhabditida; Rhabditidae. The record is from miRBase by way of RNAcentral.
AUGGAUACAAUCUGAAAAUCAAGAUCAGGCCUUGGCCGAAUGCAUAUAUUGCUCAGUUGAAUUGCUAAUAUUGCACUCGCCCCGGCCUGAUCUAAAAGUAAGAUUUCAU